AAAAUUUAAAAUAAAAAUACUAAAAUAGUAAUUAAAUAUUUAUUGAAACUUAAAUAAUUUGGCGGUAUUUUAGUUCAUUUAGAGGAAUCUGUUUAAUAAUUGAUAUUCCACGAAUAAAUUUACUUAUUUUAUAAUUUUGUAUAUCGUUGUUAUAAAAAUAUUUUUUAAUGAAAUUAAUGUUUAAAAAUUAAUAUGAAAAAUUAAAUCAAAUCAAGAUGCAGAUUAUAAUUAAGAAUAUAAUGGAUUACAAUAAAUUUAUUUAAAUGGAUUUUAUUUUGUAAUAUUUAAUUGAAGGUGGAUUUAAAUGUAAUUUUAUUUAAUUUAAUAAAAUGAUUAAAAAUUAAAAUAUGU
This 351-nucleotide ribosomal RNA is filed under the name Sesamia typhae. Its description in RNAcentral is "partial 12S small subunit ribosomal RNA". The record is from RNAcentral. Lineage: Eukaryota; Metazoa; Arthropoda; Insecta; Lepidoptera; Noctuidae.